CAGUCGCCGCGGUAAUACGUAGGGUGCGAGCGUUGUCCGGAAUUAUUGGGCGUAAAGAGCUUGUAGGCGGUCUGUCGCGUCUGCUGUGAAAACCCGAGGCUCAACCUCGGGCCUGCAGUGGGUACGGGCAGACUAGAGUGCGGUAGGGGAGAACGGAACUCCUGGUGUAGCGGUGGAAUGCGCAGAUAUCAGGAAGAACACCGAUGGCGAAGGCAGUUCUCUGGGCCGUAACUGACGCUGAGAAGCGAAAGCGUGGGGAGCGAACAGGAUUAGAUACCCCCGUAGUCCCUGUCUCUUAUAC
Molecule: ribosomal RNA, 301 nt
Filed under: uncultured bacterium
Lineage: Bacteria
Description: partial 16S ribosomal RNA
Rfam family: Bacterial small subunit ribosomal RNA
Source: RNAcentral